RNAcentral lists this ribosomal RNA (254 nucleotides) under uncultured bacterium. RNAcentral's name for it is "partial 16S ribosomal RNA". It matches the Rfam family "Bacterial small subunit ribosomal RNA", at positions 524 to 776 of the family's 1533-position model. The record is from RNAcentral.
UACGUAGGGGGCUAGCGUUGUCCGGAAUCAUUGGGCGUAAAGCGCGUGUAGGCGGCCCGGUAAGUCCGCUGUGAAAGUCGGGGGCUCAACCCUCGAAAGCCGGUGGAUACUGUCGGGCUCGAGUACGGAAGAGGCGAGUGGAAUUCCUGGUGUAGCGGUGAAAUGCGCAGAUAUCAGGAGGAACACCGGUGGCGAAGGCGGGUCUCUGGGCCGAUGACUGACGCUGAGGAGCGAAAGCGUGGGGAGCGAACAGG